GUACUGCUGGUUCCUCAUCUAUGGAUCAGAAACCAGCCUGAGGACCCGUCAGAAGGUACUGCUGGUUCCUCAUCAAUGGAUCAUGAACCAGCCUGAGGACCCGUCAGAAGGUACUGCUGGUUCCUCAUCGAUGGAUCAUGAACCAGCCUGAGGACCCGUCAGAAGGUACUGCUGGUUCCUCAUCUAUGGAUCAGAAACCAGCCUGAGGACCUGUCAGAAGGUACUGCUGGUUCCUCAUCAAUGGAUCAUGAACCAGCCUGAGGACCCGUCAGAAGGUACUGCUGGUUCCUCAUCAAUGGAUCAUGAACCAGCCUGAGGACCCGUCAGAAGGUACUGCUGGUUCCUCAUCAAUGGAUCAUGAACCAGCCUGAGGACCCGUCAGAAGGUACUGCUGGUUCCUCAUCUAUGGGUCAUGAACCAGCCUGAGGACCUGUGACGAUGGGGAGGAGUUCACAAACAACUGCUUUAUAGUUUUAAACGUUUUAAGUAUUUCUUGAUACAGAAGUGUUGAUCUCUAUCUUUGUCUGAUAAGUUUAAUAUUUGAUAAGUUUAAGCUGAACAAACUCCUUUGACCUCGUUGGUUUCAUCCGUGUGCAAAAAGUGCUCACUGUUAACAAAGUGGAAACCAGAGAAGCAGCUUUCAUGUUUGUGUUAUAAAGAAACCAAAACACUUAUUCCAGUUAUUGCAUAAUAGUCAAAGUAAAUCUCGAUUUACUGAAAAUACGUCAAAUGAAAAACGGUCCCCAAAGCUGUUGAAGUUCGACGUUAAAGCUCACCGGCGCUUUGAAACCCUCCAAUCAAGCUGCAGAUCUUCAGCAGCUUAUUUCACAUUCUUAAACGUGAAAAGAAACGUUAAAUCCCAAUUCAAUUAUACUUAAUUAUAAAAACCAAAUAGUUUGUUUCUCCAGCUCUGCUUCAUUCAUCACGUGGCUAAACGGUUUACAAACUAAUCCAAAAAUUACCCAAUAUGAUCAAGAAUUUGGGAUAAAUGUGUCAAUGAAAGGACACAAUACAUUUUCCCCUGAAGGCACGGAGACUGUGUGGUUUGAAUAUUCUACUCAGACAGUAAUAAACUCAUUUUAACCACCUUAAGGCUACUUAGCUACAGCAGCGGGAUGGGAUUAUAUGAAUAAAAUCUCUCCUCCACUUCUGGUCGUUUAAACUUUUAGGCCUUUCGUGUGAUUAAUUAUCUUGUUAAUAUAUUUGAUCCCACAGCUGUUUCAUUUCUGCUUUCCCACCAAAAUAUGUAAUAAGAAAAAACAUCAGGGCCUUUUCAUACUCGACUACCAGAAUAAUGAUCUCUGGUGUUGACCUGUCAAUCACCGUGUAGCCCCGCCCUAAAGCGUCCGCUGCUUUAUGGUCUGUUUGACUCUAAAUGGACCAUCAGUCACUAAAUGAACAUCAUGUUGUGUUGAAGAAGACGUGAAACUAGAGACUGAGACCAUAAACUCAUGUUUACAAUGUUUACUGAGGGAAUAAAUCAAGAGAGAAGUAGAGUCAUUUCCUCAUAGACGUCUAUGGGAGCAGAGGAGUCGCCCCCUGCUGGUCACUACAGAGAAGUAGAGUCAUUUCCUCAUAGACGUCUAUGGGAGCAGAGGAGUCGCCCCCUGCUGGUCACUACAGAGAAGUAGAGUCAUUUCCUCAUAG
Molecule: long non-coding RNA, 1647 nt
Organism: Gasterosteus aculeatus aculeatus (three-spined stickleback)
Lineage: Eukaryota; Metazoa; Chordata; Actinopteri; Perciformes; Gasterosteidae
Source: Ensembl